AUGCCAACAGUAUGUACAUUUGCAAAAAGUAGAACCAACAAUUUGGACGACUACUCUAUCUUCCAGGUCAAAAUGCAAAUGCAUAUGAGGAGGACGACGAGCGGACGACAAAGCCUUGCCUCGCUGCUCGCCGCUACCGCGCCCGACUGCCGCCACCCCGUUGGUGAAGAGGCGGCGCUGGCGGUUGCGGACGGUGACAGCGCGGCCCUCGGCGAGGACGUGGGGGAGGUAGGCGUUCUCGACAAGUGCGUGGUGGCGGUGGUGGAAGGUGGCGCCGCGGAAGUCGUCGGCGACAACCUCGUGGUCGUCGACGGCGAGGGCCAAGCGGUCGGCACCCUCGGCGAGGUCUUGACGGCCACCUCGCUGCUCGCCGCCACGCCUGGCCACCGU
RNAcentral lists this long non-coding RNA (390 nucleotides) under Oryza sativa tropical japonica subgroup. RNAcentral describes it as "lncRNA OsCMeo_04g0013960". Lineage: Eukaryota; Viridiplantae; Streptophyta; Magnoliopsida; Poales; Poaceae. The record is from RNAcentral.